RNAcentral lists this ribosomal RNA (462 nucleotides) under uncultured bacterium. Its description in RNAcentral is "bacterial SSU rRNA". It matches the Rfam family "Bacterial small subunit ribosomal RNA", at positions 917 to 1382 of the family's 1533-position model. The record is from RNAcentral.
GGGCCCGCACAAGCAGUGGAGUAUGUGGUUUAAUUCGAAGCAACGCGAAGAACCUUACCAGGUCUUGACAUCCGACUAACGAAGCAGAGAUGCAUCAGGUGCCCUUCGGGGAAAGUCGAGACAGGUGGUGCAUGGUUGUCGUCAGCUCGUGUCGUGAGAUGUUGGGUUAAGUCCCGCAACGAGCGCAACCCUUGUCAUUAGUUGCUACGCGAGAGCACUCUAAUGAGACUGCCGUUGACAAAACGGAGGAAGGUGGGGACGACGUCAAAUCAUCAUGCCCUUUAUGACCUGGGCUACACACGUACUACAAUGGCCGCUAACAACGGGAAGCAAGAGCGCGAGCUGGAGCAAAUCCCCAAAAGCGGUCUCAGUUCAGAUUGCAGGCUGCAACCCGCCUGCAUGAAGUCGGAAUUGCUAGUAAUCGCAGAUCAGCAUGCUGCGGUGAAUACGUUCCCGGGCCUU